Molecule: non-coding RNA, 95 nt
Organism: Russula ochroleuca
Lineage: Eukaryota; Fungi; Basidiomycota; Agaricomycetes; Russulales; Russulaceae
Source: the annotation of a GenBank genome assembly
CCUUCGAUAGCUCAGUUGGAAGAGCGUGGGACUGUAAUUUGCAACCUAGCCUCAGCGCUAUCCCGAGGUCGCUGGUUCGAACCCGGCUCGAAGGA